UCUCAGAAUUAGAGAAGAUGAUGUGGUGAUGGAAGAAGAGGUCAGAGAGGGAGAUUUGAAGAUGUUGCAGUUCUGGCCUUCAAGAUGGAGUCAGGGGCUAUCUUCAAGAGAGAAGAUCUUGAUCUGUGGCCCAGGCUGCAGUACAGUGACAUGAUCAUGGUUCACUACAGCUUCAAACUCCUGGCCUCAAGCCAUCCUCCCGUUUUGUUUUGUUUUGAAACAGAAUCUCACUCUCGCCCAGAGUGGAGUGCAGUGGUGUGAUCUCAGCUGCCUGCAGCCUUCACCUCCCAGGUUCAAGCGAUUCUCCUGCCUCAGCCUCUUGAGUAGCUGGGAUUAC
Molecule: long non-coding RNA, 337 nt
Filed under: Homo sapiens (human)
Lineage: Eukaryota; Metazoa; Chordata; Mammalia; Primates; Hominidae
Description: non-protein coding lnc-TMEM248-3:1
Source: RNAcentral